GAUGAACGCUGGCGGCGUGCCUAAUACAUGCAAGUCGAGCGAACAGACGGGGAGCUUGCUCCUCUGACGUUAGCGGCGGACGGGUGAGUAACACGUGGAUAACAUACCUCUAAGACUGGGAUAAUUUCGGGAAACCGGAGCUACUACCGGAUAAUAUAUUGAACCGCAUGGUGCAAUAGUGAAAGACGGUUUUGCUGUCAGUUAUAGCUGGAUCCGCGUCGCAUUAGCUAGUUGGUAAGGUAACGGCUUACCAAGGCUACGAUGCGUAGCCGACCUGAGAGGGUGAUCGGCCACACUGGAACUGAGACACGGUCCAGACUCCUACGGGAGGCAGCAGUGGGGAAUCUUCCGCAAUGGGCGAAAGCCUGACGGAGCAACGCCGCGUGAGUGAUGAAGGUCUUCGGAUCGUAAAACUCUGUUAUUAGGGAAGAACAAAUGCGUAAUUAACUAUGCACGUCUUGACGGUACCUAAACAGAAAGCCACGGCUAACUACGUG
This 497-nucleotide ribosomal RNA is filed under the name uncultured bacterium. RNAcentral describes it as "partial 16S ribosomal RNA". It matches the Rfam family "Bacterial small subunit ribosomal RNA", at positions 28 to 507 of the family's 1533-position model. The record is from RNAcentral.